This 522-nucleotide ribosomal RNA is filed under the name Streptomyces africanus. Its description in RNAcentral is "bacterial SSU rRNA". It matches the Rfam family "Bacterial small subunit ribosomal RNA", at positions 354 to 867 of the family's 1533-position model. The record is from RNAcentral. Lineage: Bacteria; Bacillati; Actinomycetota; Actinomycetes; Kitasatosporales; Streptomycetaceae.
GUGGGGAAUCUUGCACAAUGCGUGAAAGCGUGAUGCAGCAACGCCGCGUGCGGGAAGAAGGCCUUAGGGUUGUAAACCGCUUUCAGUUGGGACGAAGCUUCACAGGUUAAUAGCCUAUCGGAGUGACGGUACCUUCAGAAGAAGCGCCGGCUAACUACGUGCCAGCAGCCGCGGUAAUACGUAGGGCGCGAGCGUUGUCCGGAAUCAUUGGGCGUAAAGCGCGUGUAGGCGGCUUAGUAAGUCUACUGUGAAAGUCCAGGGCUCAACCCUGGAAUGUCGGUGGAUACUGCUGAGCUGGAGUACGGGAGGGGCGAGUGGAAUUCCUGGUGUAGCGGUGGAAUGCGCAGAUAUCAGGAGGAACACCUAUGGCGAAGGCAGCUCGCUGGAACGUUACUGACGCUGAGACGCGAAAGCGUGGGGAGCAAACAGGAUUAGAUACCCUGGUAGUCCACGCUGUAAACGAUGGAUACUAGGUGUGGGGGGUGUCAACUCCCUCGGUGCGGAAGCUAACGCAUUAAGUAU